UACGGAGGGGGCUAGCGUUGUUCGGAAUUACUGGGCGUAAAGCGCACGUAGGCGGCUUUGUAAGUUAGAGGUGAAAGCCCGGGGCUCAACUCCGGAACUGCCCUUAAGACUGCAUCGCUAGAAUUGUGGAGAGGUGAGUGGAAUUCCGAGUGUAGAGGUGAAAUUCGUAGAUAUUCGGAAGAACACCAGUGGCGAAGGCGACUCACUGGACACAUAUUGACGCUGAGGCACGAAAGCGUGGGGAGCAAACAGG
RNAcentral lists this ribosomal RNA (253 nucleotides) under uncultured bacterium. Its description in RNAcentral is "partial 16S ribosomal RNA". It matches the Rfam family "Bacterial small subunit ribosomal RNA", at positions 524 to 776 of the family's 1533-position model. The record is from RNAcentral.